RNAcentral lists this ribosomal RNA (497 nucleotides) under uncultured bacterium. RNAcentral's name for it is "partial 16S ribosomal RNA". It matches the Rfam family "Bacterial small subunit ribosomal RNA", at positions 28 to 507 of the family's 1533-position model. The record is from RNAcentral.
GAUGAACGCUGGCGGCGUGCCUAAUACAUGCAAGUCGAGCGAACGGACGAGAAGCUUGCUUUUCUGAUGUUAGCGGCGGACGGGUGAGUAACACGUGGAUAACCUACCUAUAAGACUGGUAUAACUUCGGGAAACCGGAACUAAUACCGGAUAAUAUUUUGAACCGCAUGGUUCAAAAGUGAAAGACGGUCUUGCUGUCACUUAUAGAUGGAUCCGCGCUGCAUUAGCUAGUUGGUAAGGUAACGGCUUACCAAGGCAACGAUGCAUAGCCGACCUGAGAGGGUGAUCGGCCGCACUAGAACUGAGACACGGUCCAGACUCCUACGGGAGGCAGCAGUAGGGAAUCUUCCGCAAUGGGCGAAAGCCUGACGGAGCAACGCCGCGUGAGUGAUGAAGGUCUUCGGAUCGUAAAACUCUGUUAUUAGGGAAGAACAUAUGUGUAAGUAACUGUGCACAUCUUGACGGUAACUAAUCAGAAAGCCACGGCUAACUACGUG